GAGGGUGGCUGUGCUAGAAGCCUCAGCUGGACUGGAUAUCAAACUAGAAUGGGACUGGGAAGAGGAGUGUGCUCGGGCUGGGACCAUGGGUAACAUGAAAGAGAGUAUUUGUUUCUCUGGAAAACAUCGUCUCAAGUUACAAGCCAAGCUGCCUCUAGAUGUCCCUUUUCAACUCAUUCGAAAAAAAAUACAGGGCUAUGUCCAAACCUCAAUGUUGAAAGCAUUUAGGAGGAUAUCCAAUUCACAGCCCACAGGCCCACUUCCAAGAAAAGAAACAAAUAAUGCAAAUGAUUACCUAUUAUCUUUUGCUCUGACAUCUCUCAAGCAAGUCUGGAGACCUUCUUUCCUCAUUCUGAAACCACAUCUCAAACUUCUGCCUAGCACGCUCUCCGCCCAGGCUCCUCAAUUCCCGUCUCUGACAAAGCCAUGCUUUGCUGCCUCUCUGAGGGAGUGACUCUGGGGACCUGUCCCUGCCUAUUUUGGGGUAGCCUGAAGAUCCAGCAGCUGCACGUCCUCUGGUCCUUUGCUCAUAAAGACAGCUGUGGCCAGUGCUCCUUGGAAAGCUGGGCUCUGUUCUCACUUUGAUUGCUUUUCUUAUGGGAAAAACUCCUAAACCUCUUUCAGAAAAAGAUAUCCACCUUGCACCUAAGCAAAACCUUCUGGGGUUGAUAAGUGAAAAUAAAACAGCCUCAGAGUUGUAAAUGAUUCACACAUUCAUGCAGAGUUCUGUAUACG
This 735-nucleotide long non-coding RNA is filed under the name Pan troglodytes (chimpanzee). RNAcentral describes it as "lncRNA (ENSPTRG00000053040.1)". The record is from RNAcentral. Lineage: Eukaryota; Metazoa; Chordata; Mammalia; Primates; Hominidae.